AACGAAUGCUGGCGGCGUGGAUUAGGCAUGCAAGUCGAACGGGUUGGGUAGCAAUACUCAAUCAGUGGCGAAAGGGUGAGUAACACGUGAGUAAUCUGCCUUUAGGAUUGGGAUAACUUCGCGAAAGCGAAGCUAAUACCGAGUGUGACCACAUUUUCUUCGGAGAGUGUGGUGAAAGGAUGGCCUCUAUUUAUAAGCUAUCGCCUUUAGAUGAGCUCGCGGUAAUUAGCUAGUUGGUAGGGUAAUGGCCUACCAAGGCUAUGAUGUAUAGCUGGCCUGAGAGGGUGGUCAGCCACACUGGGACUGAGACACUGCCCAGACACCUACGGGUGCUGCAGUCGAGGAUCUUUCGCAAUGGGGAAACCCUGACGAAGCGACGCCGCGUGAGCGAUGAAGGCC
RNAcentral lists this ribosomal RNA (399 nucleotides) under uncultured bacterium. RNAcentral describes it as "bacterial SSU rRNA". It matches the Rfam family "Bacterial small subunit ribosomal RNA", at positions 29 to 416 of the family's 1533-position model. The record is from RNAcentral.